UCUAAUAUGGCAGAAUAGUGCAUUGGACUUAAACCCCAAAUAUAAAAAUAAUUUUUUAUUAGAA
RNAcentral lists this transfer RNA (64 nucleotides) under Scolytinae sp. BMNH 1039965. Its description in RNAcentral is "tRNA-Leu". It matches the Rfam family "tRNA". From Rfam's summary of the family: Transfer RNA (tRNA) molecules are approximately 80 nucleotides in length. Their secondary structure includes four short double-helical elements and three loops (D, anti-codon, and T loops). Further hydrogen bonds mediate the characteristic L-shaped molecular structure. tRNAs have two regions of fundamental functional importance: the anti-codon, which is responsible for specific mRNA codon recognition, and the 3' end, to which the tRNAs corresponding amino acid is attached (by aminoacyl-tRNA synthetases). tRNAs cope with the degeneracy of the genetic code in two manners: having more than one tRNA (with a specific anti-codon) for a particular amino acid; and 'wobble' base-pairing, i.e. permitting non-standard base-pairing at the 3rd anti-codon position. Lineage: Eukaryota; Metazoa; Arthropoda; Insecta; Coleoptera; Curculionidae. The record is from RNAcentral.